GUCUAUUUGUGGAUAUAAAUAGUCUAGUCUGCCCACUGAUAAAAUAAGUUUAAAGGGCCGCGGUAUUUUGACCGUGCAAAGGUAGCAUAAUCACUAGUUUUUUAAUUGGAAUCUCGUAUGAAUGGCUGGACAAAAGAAAGUCUGUCUCUAUAAUAAUUAUUGAAUUUAACUUUUAAGUGAAAAGGCUUAAAUGAUUUGAAAAGACGAUAAGACCCUAUAAAGCUUGAUAUAAGUUGUAUAUUAUUAUAGAAUUUUAUAAUUUAUAAAGAUAUAUUGUACAGUUUUUAUUUUAUUGGGGCGAUAGAGGUAGAAUUUUUAAUAACUGCUUAGAUUUUAUGACAGUAUAAGUGAUUAGUUUGUAAAAGAUCCUAAAUAAAGAUUAAAAGGUUAAGUUACUUUAGGGAUAACAGCGUAAUUCUUUUUGAGAGUUCUUAUCGAAAGAAGAGUUUGCGACCUCGAUGUUGAAUUAAAAGUUCUUUACAAUUGUAGGAGUUGUAAAAGAAGGUCUGUUCGACCUUUAAAUUUUU
RNAcentral lists this ribosomal RNA (527 nucleotides) under Metopograpsus quadridentatus. RNAcentral describes it as "partial 16S ribosomal RNA". It matches the Rfam family "Bacterial large subunit ribosomal RNA", at positions 1831 to 2597 of the family's 2925-position model. Lineage: Eukaryota; Metazoa; Arthropoda; Malacostraca; Decapoda; Grapsidae. The record is from RNAcentral.